This 474-nucleotide ribosomal RNA is filed under the name uncultured bacterium. RNAcentral's name for it is "bacterial SSU rRNA". It matches the Rfam family "Bacterial small subunit ribosomal RNA", at positions 28 to 507 of the family's 1533-position model. The record is from RNAcentral.
GACGAACGCUGGCGGCGUGCCUAACACAUGCAAGUCGAGCGGGGUUGAGGCGAGAGGUAACUCGAACUUCUACCUAGCGGCGGACGGGUGAGUAACGCGUGGGCAACCUGCCUCAAGGUUUGGGAUAACAGCCCGAAAGGGCUGCUAAUACCGGAUAUGCCUAUGGCCUCGCAUGGGGCUAUGAGCAAAGGGGAAACCCGCCUUGAGAUGGGCCCGCGUCCCAUCAGCUAGUUGGUGAGGUAACAGCUCACCAAGGCGACGACGGGUAGCCGGCCUGAGAGGGUGACCGGCCACACUGGGACUGAGACACGGCCCAGACUCCUACGGGGGCAGCAGUGGGGGAUCUUGCACAAUGGGCGAAAGCCUGAUGCAGCGACGCCGCGUGAGCGAAGAAGGCCUUCGGGUUGUAAAGCUCUGUCUGGAGGGACGAACAAAAUGACGGUACCUCCGGAGGAAGCCACGGCUAACUACGUG